This 242-nucleotide unclassified non-coding RNA is filed under the name uncultured Basidiomycota. Its description in RNAcentral is "sequence contains ITS1". The record is from RNAcentral. Lineage: Eukaryota; Fungi; Basidiomycota.
UUGAAUAAAUCUGGCGUGGGUUGUCGCUGGCUCCCCUGGGAGCAUGUGCACGCCUCGUCACCUUUAUCUAUCCACCUGUGCACACACUGUAGUCCUGGAUACCUCUCGCUGAAAAAGGCGGAUGCGGAGCUUGCUGGCUUUUGCUGGCUUGCUCUGAAUUUCCAGGUCUAUGCUUUUUUACACACACCCCAAACGAAUGUUACAGAAUGUAGUCAUUGGGCCUCUGCGCCUAUAAACUUAUA